AGUGAACGCUGGCGGUAGGCCUAACACAUGCAAGUCGAACGGCAGCGCAGUAAGAGCUUGCUCUUACGGGUGGCGAGUGGCGGACGGGUGAGGAAUACAUCGGAAUCUACUUUUUCGUGGGGGAUAACGUAGGGAAACUUACGCUAAUACCGCAUACGACCUACGGGUGAAAGCAGGGGAUCUUCGGACCUUGCGCGAUUGAAUGAGCCGAUGUCGGAUUAGCUAGUUGGCGGGGUAAAGGCCCACCAAGGCGACGAUCCGUAGCUGGUCUGAGAGGAUGAUCAGCCACACUGGAACUGAGACACGGUCCAGACUCCUACGGGAGGCAGCAGUGGGGAAUAUUGGACAAUGGGCGCAAGCCUGAUCCAGCCAUACCACGUGGGUGAAGAAGGCCUUCGGGUUGUAAAGCCCUUUUGUUGGGAAAGAAAAGCAGCAGAUUAAUACCCCGCUGUUCUGACGGUACCCAAAGAAUAAGCACCGGCUAACUUCGUG
RNAcentral lists this ribosomal RNA (492 nucleotides) under uncultured bacterium. RNAcentral's name for it is "partial 16S ribosomal RNA". It matches the Rfam family "Bacterial small subunit ribosomal RNA", at positions 29 to 507 of the family's 1533-position model. The record is from RNAcentral.